Molecule: long non-coding RNA, 742 nt
Organism: Aethina tumida (small hive beetle)
Lineage: Eukaryota; Metazoa; Arthropoda; Insecta; Coleoptera; Nitidulidae
Exons: 3
Source: RefSeq, a predicted model, not a curated record
UUUUCUACAUAUUACAUGUUUUGUUACCGUAAAAUGUUGAUUAAUUCAUUGAAGCAAUAGUGUUUUCUAACAGAACCUACCCUUGGGGAUAUAAAUAAGUAAUCGACCCUAAAUGUUUUAACCAGUAAAAGGACAUUUUUUAAAAUAACUUUGCUUGGAUAAGUAAAGAGAAAACGAUUUUCAGUGCCCCAUGCAAUUGGGUUCUGACCCGGAGUCUUGGUCAUAGAACUAUUAAGCUCUACUAGGCAGCUUUGCGGCAGCAGUGCGUCAGACCUGACAUUGACGGGGUCCACUGGAAAUAGUUGAUACUUUACUUGGAUAAGUUGAGUGGCAAGUCCAAAAUGUGCACUUCAAUAUUGAGCUGGAUUCUCAAUCUUGUUGUUAGUCAUCUCCAUAUAAUACCUUACUGACUAGACACUGGAAAAAGAUUCAUAAAAAGUUUUCGUGAAGUCCACGGACGCAUCUAAGUUAUGAUGAUCAAUUACUGGCAUCAUUGGAAAACCGGUAAUGGAACAAAGAUAGAAUAUUAAUGGUGGGUCCCGAACAAGACUUGUUUAUCAACCAACUGGCAUCACAAAGUCGAAGUCGUUACGGAUGCAAUUGGGUUCUGACCCGGAGUCUUGAUCUCUAUUUAUUUUCUCGCUGAUUGGACACUGAAAAAAGAUGCGCAAAAAGUUACCAGGAACGCAUUUAUUCGCAUUUUUAUUAUGAUGAUCAGUCACUGAUAUCAUUGGAAAAGCAA